GAAUAGUACAAGUUCUCUUCCCCAACAAACAAAACUCCAAACGUAUACAAGAAUUAGAGUUAUCAUACCCAUAAGCAUCCAUCUUAUUGAGAAAUGCAACAAUGCAAGAGUGUGAGGCAUAUUAGUGUUGAAGUCAACUAAUUAUUUAAAGCGAGACAUGCUAAAUUAACGACAGAUGCAUUAAAUUUCACAUGAAGCAAAAUCAGAUCAGAAAAACACCAAAUUCACAAAAUUAACCAUCCAAAGAAAGCCUACAUAAUUUGUUAAUCACAAAAAAUAAAAAGUUAAUUUUUUGGUUAAUUAGAAACCAAAUGAGCAAAAAGCUAACACCUUCUUGUCCUCAGAUGAGUGCGA
This 354-nucleotide unclassified non-coding RNA is filed under the name Hevea brasiliensis (rubber tree). The record is from RNAcentral. Lineage: Eukaryota; Viridiplantae; Streptophyta; Magnoliopsida; Malpighiales; Euphorbiaceae.